AACGAACGCUGGCGGCAGGCCUAACACAUGCAAGUCGAGCGCUACCNUCGGGUGGAGCGGCGGACAGGUUAGUAACGCGUGGGAAUAUACCCAGUUCUAAGGAAUAGUCACUGGAAACGGUGAGUAAUACCUUAUACGCCCUUCGGGGGAAAGAUUUAUCGGAAUUGGAGUAGCGCGCGUUAGAUUACAUAGUUGGUGGGGUAAUGGCCUACCAAGUCUACGAUCUAUACCUGGUUUGAGAGGAUGAUCACCAACUCUGGGACUGAGCCGCGGUCCAGACUCUUACGGGAGGCAGCAGUGGGGAAUCUUAGCCAAUGGGCGAAAGCCUGAUCUAGCCAUGCCGCGUGAGUGAUGAAGGCCCUAGGGUCGUAAAGCUCUUUCAACUGUGAAGAUAAUGACGGUAGCAGUAGAAGAAACCCCGGCUAACUUCGUGCCAGCAGCCGCGGUAAUACGGAGGGGGUUAGCGUUGUUCGGAAUUACUGGGCGUAAAGCGUACGUAGGCGGAUUAAUAAGUUAGAGGUGAAAUCCCAGGGCUCAACCCUGGAACUGCCUUUAAAACUGUUAGUCUUGAGAUCGAGAGAGGUGAGUGGAAUUCCAAGUGUAGAGGUGAAAUUCGUAGAUAUUUGGAGGAACACCAGUGGCGAAGGCGGCUCUCUGGCUCGAUACUGACGCCU
RNAcentral lists this ribosomal RNA (674 nucleotides) under bacterium IMCC8617. RNAcentral describes it as "bacterial SSU rRNA". It matches the Rfam family "Bacterial small subunit ribosomal RNA", at positions 28 to 748 of the family's 1533-position model. The record is from RNAcentral.